Halichondria panicea is the source of this 1382-nucleotide long non-coding RNA. RefSeq lists it as uncharacterized. The transcript has 5 exons. NCBI's taxonomy places the organism in Eukaryota, Metazoa, Porifera, Demospongiae, Suberitida, Halichondriidae. The record is from RefSeq and is a predicted model, not a curated record.
CCCACUCAUUUACCUUUCACUUCCGCCUUUUCCGAUUUCUGGCUUUCUGGUCCUACAUGCGCAGUAUGCACACAGUAGUACAGCAUGCAGUAGUACAGUACAGAGCUAUAUAGACGCUCAAGUAUCCCUGCAGCAUGUCUAGAUCUACUGUUGAUUGAAGCAUAGAUAGUAGAAGAAGUAAAGGAGUAGUCUCUCGAAACAUGUCUGUCGAUUCAUUCCUCUACUAUAAUUAUAGUCUAUCUGAAGCAACAAUUUAAGAAAGGUAUGGAACAGCUGGUCCAGGUCUCCUUGGUGUCCUUUCACUCCCUACACAAAGUACAAGCGUUUAAACAUUCUCGGUAUGGCUCCGUUGGUAUCAAGUAAACCUGAAAAUGCAUUCGUUGGUCCAUUAAACUUCCUAUUUCAGUGGGUGGACCAACGGGCUGGACAACAAGCAAGAAAAUAGUUUACUUACUUUGUAUACAUUCUUUUUUAUAGCCGUAUCCGAGCUCAUUUAAAAGCUUGGUGUCUUCGUUGGCAUCAGGAAAACCUGCUCGUUGGUCCAUACAGGAGGCUGUUUCUGGAAACUAGGUGGACCAACGGCCUGGACGACAAGUUGGUGUGAUUAUGAGCUCAUUUCAAAGCUUGGUGUCUCCGUUGGCAUCAUUAUAAACUGGAAAUCCUGCUUGUUGGUCUAUGAGGUUUCCUGUUUCUGGAAACUGGAUGGACCAACGGCCUGGACAACAAGUUGGUGUGAUUAUGACCUCAUUUCAAAGCUUAGUGUCUUCGUUGGCAUCAUUAUAAACUGGAAAUCCUGCUUGUUGGUCUAUGAGGUUUCCUGUUUUUGGAAAUUAGGUGGACCAACGGCCUGGACGACAAAGCUUAGUGGCUCUCCGUUGGCAUCAUGCAGUUAUACUAAAAAACCUGGACGUUGGCCCAUAACCUUUUCUGUUUUUGGAAACUGGGUGGACCAACGGCCUGGACGACACUGACAGGCUCUCAGCCUCCUCAUGACGUAAUCUACCGUUGGUCCAUUCAUCAGAGUCGAUUGUAAACAAUCUGGAAAGUGUAAUAACUCACUCUCUAACAACGUCUGCAAGAACUGAGUCAGAGAAAAUCUUUGUUACAAUCCCGCCAGAAGGUGAUUACGUAACAAGACAAGGAGUGUUUCAACGGAUAUCAUUGAAACUGUCGUUCGUUUCCAAUCCCUCCCUUUUCUAUCUAUGGUUCAUGCAUGUGUUCACAGAUCACGUCCAGUUCAUCAGCAAAACUCUGACCAAUGCAUGCACCAUGCAGAAGGCCCACUCGUUAAUGCAGAAUGAUGCCAGGCUCAAAGAUAGUUACUCCAAGCUCUGAUGUUGAAGAAUAUUCUGGAAAUUGCUCUGUGUAGCAUAAUUUCAUGU